This 139-nucleotide small nucleolar RNA is filed under the name Leersia perrieri. Its description in RNAcentral is "snoRNA snoZ247". It matches the Rfam family "Small nucleolar RNA Z247". From Rfam's summary of the family: Z247 is a member of the C/D class of snoRNA which contain the C (UGAUGA) and D (CUGA) box motifs. Most of the members of the box C/D family function in directing site-specific 2'-O-methylation of substrate RNAs. The record is from Rfam by way of RNAcentral. Lineage: Eukaryota; Viridiplantae; Streptophyta; Magnoliopsida; Poales; Poaceae.
CGUCUCGACGACGAGGAUCUCGUCUCCUAUAUCCUGGCUGGCCUUGACGUCGACUUCAACCCGGAGGUCACCGCAGUCGCGUCCAGGGUCGAGCCGGUGUCCGUGGGUGAACUGUUUGCUCAGCUCGUGAGCUUUGAAA